GGGCCUGGAGCUGAGGGGUACAGCACUUGCCUAGCAUGUAACAGGCCCUGGGUUUGACUCCCAGCACCA
This 69-nucleotide transfer RNA is filed under the name Fukomys damarensis (Damara mole-rat). It matches the Rfam family "tRNA". Rfam says of the family: Transfer RNA (tRNA) molecules are approximately 80 nucleotides in length. Their secondary structure includes four short double-helical elements and three loops (D, anti-codon, and T loops). Lineage: Eukaryota; Metazoa; Chordata; Mammalia; Rodentia; Bathyergidae. The record is from Rfam by way of RNAcentral.